This 1446-nucleotide ribosomal RNA is filed under the name uncultured organism. RNAcentral's name for it is "SSU rRNA". It matches the Rfam family "Bacterial small subunit ribosomal RNA". The record is from RNAcentral.
UGAACGCUAGCUACAGGCUUAACACAUGCAAGUCGAGGGGCAUCAGGAAGAAAGCUUGCUUUCUUUGCUGGCGACCGGCGCACGGGUGAGUAACACGUAUCCAACCUGCCCUUUACUCGGGGAUAGCCUUUCGAAAGAAAGAUUAAUACCCGAUAGCAUAAUGAUUCCGCAUGGUUUCAUUAUUAAAGGAUUCCGGUAAAGGAUGGGGAUGCGUUCCAUUAGGUUGUUGGUGAGGUAACGGCCCACCAAGCCUUCGAUGGAUAGGGGUUCUGAGAGGAAGGUCCCCCACAUUGGAACUGAGACACGGUCCAAACUCCUACGGGAGGCAGCAGUGAGGAAUAUUGGUCAAUGGGCGCUAGCCUGAACCAGCCAAGUAGCGUGAAGGAUGAAGGCUCUAUGGGUCGUAAACUUCUUUUAUAUAAGAAUAAAGUGCAGUAUGUAUACUGUUUUGUAUGUAUUAUAUGAAUAAGGAUCGGCUAACUCCGUGCCAGCAGCCGCGGUAAUACGGAGGAUCCGAGCGUUAUCCGGAUUUAUUGGGUUUAAAGGGAGCGUAGGUGGACUGGUAAGUCAGUUGUGAAAGUUUGCGGCUCAACCGUAAAAUUGCAGUUGAUACUGUCAGUCUUGAGUACAGUAGAGGUGGGCGGAAUUCGUGGUGUAGCGGUGAAAUGCUUAGAUAUCACGAAGAACUCCGAUUGCGAAGGCAGCUCACUGGACUGCAACUGACACUGAUGCUCGAAAGUGUGGGCAUCAAACAGGAUUAGAUACCCUGGUAGUCCACACAGUAAACGAUGAAUACUCGCUGUUUGCGAUAUACAGUAAGCGGCCAAGCGAAAGCAUUAAGUAUUCCACCUGGGGAGUACGCCGGCAACGGUGAAACUCAAAGGAAUUGACGGGGGCCCGCACAAGCGGAGGAACAUGUGGUUUAAUUCGAUGAUACGCGAGGAACCUUACCCGGGCUUAAAUUGCAGUGGAAUGAUGUGGAAACAUGUCAGUGAGCAAUCACCGCUGUGAAGGUGCUGCAUGGUUGUCGUCAGCUCGUGCCGUGAGGUGUCGGCUUAAGUGCCAUAACGAGCGCAACCCUUAUCUUUAGUUACUAACAGGUCAUGCUGAGGACUCUGGAGAGACUGCCGUCGUAAGAUGUGAGGAAGGUGGGGAUGACGUCAAAUCAGCACGGCCCUUACGUCCGGGGCUACACACGUGUUACAAUGGGGGGUACAGAAGGCAGCUAGCGGGUGACCGUAUGCUAAUCCCAAAAUCCUCUCUCAGUUCGGAUCGAAGUCUGCAACCCGACUUCGUGAAGCUGGAUUCGCUAGUAAUCGCGCAUCAGCCACGGCGCGGUGAAUACGUUCCCGGGCCUUGUACACACCGCCCGUCAAGCCAUGGGAGCCGGGGGUACCUGAAGUACGUAACCGCAAGGAUCGUCCUAGGGUAAAACUGGUGACUGGG